This 301-nucleotide ribosomal RNA is filed under the name uncultured bacterium. Its description in RNAcentral is "bacterial SSU rRNA". It matches the Rfam family "Bacterial small subunit ribosomal RNA", at positions 337 to 651 of the family's 1533-position model. The record is from RNAcentral.
UCCUACGGGGCGCAGCAGUGGGGAAUAUUGGGCAAUGGGCGCAAGCCUGACCCAGCAACGCCGCGUGAAGGAAGAAGGCUUUCGGGAUGUAAACUUCUUUUAUGAGGGACGAAAGAAAUGACGGUACCUCAUGAAUAAGCCACGGCUAACUACGUGCCAGCAGCCGCGGUAAUACGUAGGUGGCAAUCGUUAUCCGGAUUUACUGGGUGUAAAGGGCGUGUAGGCGUGACUGCAAGUCAGAUGUGAAAAUUAUUGGCUCAACCCAUAACCUGCAUUUGAACCUGUAGGUCUUUGGUGAUGG